GACGAACGCUGGCGGCGGGCUUAACACAUGCAAGUCGAACGGAAAGGCCCUGCCGUUGUGGGGUGCGCGGGUGGCGAACGGGGGAGUAACACGUGAGUAGCCUUCCCUUGACGUUGGGAUAACCUCAGGAAACUUUAGUUAAUACUGGAUAAGAGCAUCGGCUGAAUUGUGGGGGUAGGAUAGGUUCGGCGGAUGUGGAUGGGCUCGCGGCUUAUCAGCUUGUUGGGGGGGUAGUGGCUUACCAAGGCUUUGACGGGUAGCCGGCCUGAGAGGGUGACCGGCCACCUUGGGACUGAGAUACGGCCCGCAGUACUGAGGGAGGCAGCAGAGUGGAAUAUUGCCCGAUGCGCGGAACCCUGAUGAAGCACCACCGCGUGAGGGAUGACGGCCUUCGGGUUGAAAACCGCUUUCGCAUGUACCGAAGCGUAGCUGACGGUAAUGGGUAAAGAAGCACCGGCUAACUACGUG
This 468-nucleotide ribosomal RNA is filed under the name uncultured bacterium. Its description in RNAcentral is "partial 16S ribosomal RNA". It matches the Rfam family "Bacterial small subunit ribosomal RNA", at positions 28 to 507 of the family's 1533-position model. The record is from RNAcentral.